AGACUCCUACGGGAGGCAGCAGUGGGGAAUAUUGCACAAUGGGCGGAAGCCUGAUGCAGCGACGCCGCGUGAGGGAUGACGGCCUUCGGGUUGUAAACCUCUUUCAGCAGGGACGAAGCGUAAGUGACGGUACCUGCAGAAGAAGCGCCGGCCAACUACGUGCCAGCAGCCGCGGUAAGACGUAGGGCGCGAGCGUUGUCCGGAUUUAUUGGGCGUAAAGAGCUCGUAGGCGGCUUGUCGCGUCGACUGUGAAAACCCGCAGCUCAACUGCGGGCCUGCAGUCGAUACGGGCAGGCUAGAGUUCGGUAGGGGAGACUGGAAUUCCUGGUGUAGCGGUGAAAUGCGCAGAUAUCAGGAGGAACACCGGUGGCGAAGGCGGGUCUCUGGGCCGAUACUGACGCUGAGGAGCGAAAGCGUGGGGAGCGAACAGGAUUAGAUACCCUGGUAGUCCACGCUGUAAACGUUGGGCGCUAGGUGUGGGGGGCCUCUCCGGUUCCCUGUGCCGCAGCUAACGCAUUAAGCGCCCCGCCUGGGGAGUACGGCCGCAAGGCUAAAACUCAAAGGAAUUGACGGGGGCCCGCACAAGCGGCGGAGCAUGCGGAUUAAUUCGAUGCAACGCGAAGAACCUUACCUGGGUUUGACAUGGCCGCAAAACCGGCAGAGAUGUCGGGUCCUUCGGGGGCGGUCACAGGUGGUGCAUGGCUGUCCUCAGCUCGUGUCGUGAGAUGUUGGGUUAAGUCCCGCAACGAGCGCAACCCUCGUUCGAUGUUGCCAGCGCGUUAUGGCGGGGACUCAUCGAAGACUGCCGGGGUCAACUCGGAGGAAGGUGGGGAUGACGUCAAGUCAUCAUGCCCCUUAUGUCCAGGGCUUCACGCAUGCUACAAUGGCCGGUACAAUGGGCUGCGAUACCGUGAGGUGGAGCGAAUCCCAAAAAGCCGGUCUCAGUUCGGAUCGGGGUCUGCAACUCGACCCCGUGAAGUCGGAGUCGCUAGUAAUCGCAGAUCAGCAACGCUGCGGUGAAUACGUUCCCGGGCCUUGUACACACCGCCCGU
Molecule: ribosomal RNA, 1052 nt
Filed under: actinobacterium D-N(0)-7
Lineage: Bacteria; Bacillati; Actinomycetota; Actinomycetes
Description: bacterial SSU rRNA
Rfam family: Bacterial small subunit ribosomal RNA
Source: RNAcentral